This 426-nucleotide ribosomal RNA is filed under the name uncultured prokaryote. RNAcentral describes it as "bacterial SSU rRNA". It matches the Rfam family "Bacterial small subunit ribosomal RNA", at positions 355 to 796 of the family's 1533-position model. The record is from RNAcentral.
UCGAGAAUCUUCGGCAAUGGACGCAAGUCUGACCGAGCGAUGCCGCGUGGUGGAGGAAGGCCUUCGGGUUGUAAACACCUGUUGGGGGUUAGGAAACACUGACCGAUCCCCUGAGGAAGGGCGGGCUAAGUUCGUGCCAGCAGCCGCGGUAAUACGAACUGCCCGAGCGUUAUUCGGAAUUAUUGGGCUUAAAGGGCGCGUAGGCGGCGCAUUAAGUCAGAGGUGAAAUCCCAUCGGCUCAACCGUGGAACUGCCUUUGAUACUGAUGUGCUUGAGGGAGAAAGGGGCGUGUGGAACUCGCAGUGGAGCGGUGAAAUGUGUUGAUAUUGCGGGGAACGCCGGUGGCGAAAGCGACACGCUGGUUCUCUUCUGACGCUGAGGCGCGAAAGCCAGGGGAGCGAACGGGAUUAGAUACCCCCGUAGUCC